CUACGGAGGGUGCAAGCGUUACUCGGAAUCACUGGGCGUAAAGCGCGCGCAGGCGGCUAUUUAAGUUGGAUGUGAAAGCCUACGGCUCAACCGUAGAACUGCAUCCAAAACUAUUUAGCUAGAGUGUGGGAGAGGAAGAUGGAAUUAGUUGUGUAGGGGUAAAAUCCGUAGAGAUAACUAGGAAUACCAAAAGCGAAGGCAAUCUUCUGGAACACUACUGACGCUGAGGCGCGUAAGCGUGGGGAGCAAACAGGAUUAGAUACCCUAGUAGUCC
Molecule: ribosomal RNA, 274 nt
Filed under: uncultured bacterium
Lineage: Bacteria
Description: partial 16S ribosomal RNA
Rfam family: Bacterial small subunit ribosomal RNA
Source: RNAcentral